GUGUCAGCAGCCGCGGUAAUACAGAGGGUGCAAGCGUUAAUCGGAAUUACUAGGCGUAAAGGGAGCGUAGGUGGCUCUAUAAGUCAGAUGUGAAAUCCCCGGGCUUUACCUGGGAACUGCAUCUGAAACUGUAGAGCUAGAGUAUGUGAGAGGAAGGUAGAAUUCCAGGUGUAGCGGUGAAAUGCGUAGAGAUCUGGAGGAAUACCGAUGGCGAAGGCAGGGUUCUGGCAUAAUACUGACACUGAGGCUCGAAAGCGUGGGUAGCAAACAGGAUUAGAAGCCCGUGUAGUCC
RNAcentral lists this ribosomal RNA (292 nucleotides) under uncultured prokaryote. RNAcentral describes it as "partial 16S ribosomal RNA". It matches the Rfam family "Bacterial small subunit ribosomal RNA", at positions 505 to 796 of the family's 1533-position model. The record is from RNAcentral.